RNAcentral lists this ribosomal RNA (429 nucleotides) under Actinomycetes bacterium. RNAcentral's name for it is "Actinobacteria bacterium partial 16S ribosomal RNA". It matches the Rfam family "Bacterial small subunit ribosomal RNA", at positions 355 to 776 of the family's 1533-position model. Lineage: Bacteria; Bacillati; Actinomycetota; Actinomycetes. The record is from RNAcentral.
UAGGGAAUCUUCCGCAAUGGGCGAAAGCCUGACGGAGCAACGCCGCGUGAGUGAUGAAGGUCCUCGGAUCGUAAAACUCUGUUAUUUGGGAAGAACAAAUGUGUAAGUAACUAUGCACGUCUUGACGGUACCUAAUCAGAAAGCCACGGCUAACUACGUGCCAGCAGCCGCGGUAAUACGUAGGUGGCAAGCGUUAUCCGGAAUUAUUGGGCGUAAAGCGCGCGUAGGCGGUUUUUUAAGUCUGAUGUGAAAGCCCACGGCUCAACCGUGGAGGGUCAUUGGAAACUGGAAAACUUGAGUGCAGAGGAGGAAAGUGGAAUUCCAUGUGUAGGGGUGAAAUGCGCAGAGAUAUGGAGGAAAAACAGUGGCGAAGGCGACUUUCUGGUCUGUAACUGACGCUGAUGUGCGAAAGCGUGGGGAUCAAACAGG